UUUUACAGAUGGAGAAACCAAGAGUCAGAAAGAUUAAGAUAACUUCUCCAAGAUCACAAGUAGCAGACUCAGGGCCAGGAUGACACCUCAGUGGACUCACAUCUGAAUCAUCCCAGGAAGUCUAGAGGGAGGAAAUGAGAGGAUGUCCUAUUCACAGAAUGGCGGAUGCCACCACCCAGCGACAAGCCAAAGGCCCCUUCUCAAAACUCUGACAAGUAAGGGAAGCAAGCCAGCCUGGCUCCCAGCUAUACCCAACAUGUCUCUUUGAAACUCACUUCAGGACCUAGGAAAGAGCUCGAGGACCAGGCCACAGGCUGUCUGUCCUACCUGGUUGGAAGUUGAGAAAAAAAAAAACUUAAAAAGAAAAUGCUAAGAAAUUCCAAAGCUGGAUAUGUCAAGGGAUUAGAUAAAGUAGAGAACCUUCAUGAGAAAUGUGUGCACACUUGUGAUACAAAGCUAAGUCACCAGGAACUACAAGCACUGAACCCAAAGUCUAAAUGUAUGUGAAAGAUGGCAUUGGAUUAAGAACACACAGGCCAUGAGUGAAUGAAACUCCCAGAGUUGACUCCCAGCUCCUCCGGUGAUUCCAUGACUCUGGGAACUACAGUGGUAACUCACAUAUGGAUUCAAAAUCUGGACUGGAACAUCUCCAUAUAUGUAAAACUAACUUUACAUAUACGCUUCAAUUAUAAACACAAGAGCUGAAUAUCGAAAGUGACUAACGCUGAAUGACCUAAACCUGAGUACUUAAAUAGUAAUUGAAGAGACUGUUUAUUAAUUUGUUUGGUUUCAAAUCUGAACUUUUUAAAAUUGGAAGUGUUGGAAGUAUUUGCCUAUACACUAUUUGGAAUAUUCUCAUUAAAGUGUGAAAUUCCAAUGC
Molecule: long non-coding RNA, 880 nt
Organism: Herpailurus yagouaroundi (jaguarundi)
Lineage: Eukaryota; Metazoa; Chordata; Mammalia; Carnivora; Felidae
Exons: 5
Source: RefSeq, a predicted model, not a curated record